GUACACGUUUUAUAUUCGCUUUAUCUUAUCCCUAUAAGAUCUCACUAGAUAGCAUUAUUAAAUAAGUAUAUAAACAUGACGGUUCAUAUCUGUCGACCAAAUAUACUACCGGUACGUGGGUGAUGACUCAUAAAAAUGCUUAUUGAGGAAAUAAAGAACCAUAGGCACGGAACCCUAAAAAUAAGUCAUAAAAAUUACGGUUACACACUACGGGAUACCUUUUAUACAAAAUUCUUUGCAAUCGCUGUCACAAAGAACCCAGUGGACUAAAAUAAACCGAGGUUGUCUGUAGAUUGUUUAUAUCUGCAUGGAAAAGCCGAUUACGGUAUUUGAGAAGAUUGCUUAUCAGGUACAUUAACAUUUUGUAUCAUUCUACCACAUUAUUGGUUGCAAUUCAUUUAAGUACGACACGUAAACCAAUCAAUCUAUGUCUGCACCGUAUUUUCAGUCGGAUACAAUUGGAAAUGGAGCUCAAUUUCAUUUGUCAAUAUGCAAUACGCGUGGACAUGAGCAUCGCUCCGCCGGGAGUUGCGGCCCGUUCGCGCCCCGCAUUGUUUGUUCAGUUUGCCGUGUCUUUAUCUUUAUUGCUUCGAGGGUUCCGUCCUGUACUGUUCAUGAUAAGUUUACUUUAAGAAUAUUCAACUUUAAUAAAUUGAAAUUGCAAUUUUUGUAGUCUUGGUUAUAGAAUCUUUUGAAUCGCAUACGAGUGUGUACAGUCUUAUUUGAUAUUACGAUAUAUAUACAUUAUAUGUAUUUUUUCUUUUAUCGUAUCUAUAUCUGUUGUUAUUUGCGCAUGCAAAUAAAUUAUAUAUCUAUGUAUUUAUUUAUCUAUCUACCAGUUCAAUUUAAUGUCGAAUAUCUGCUCAACCGUUAGAAUGUUAUGCAAAAAACAUUUAAGUUCCAUUCGAAAUAAUAUAGCAAAAUAGUGACGUCAAUCGUAACGAAAUGCAACACUGGAGUAUACCCUAUCGAAUGCAGAAAGCGUAUUCGCCAAUGCCCAUGGUGUAAUUCAUGUCUAAAGGCGACGGUUAUCAUUUUUCAUCAGAAGGGUAUCAGCUUAUUUGCCAUUCUGUCAUAAAAAAAAAUAAAAAAGAAAUACCCGGAUUAGUUUAUAUUUAGCCAAGAUAUCGCGUAACAUACACAAAAAUAAUAAUACCAGUGAAUUGAGAAGUCCUUUUUCAAAUCCUUAAAAAUUAACACCCUAGUACUACUUUUAAUAUUUUAUUUGUUUCUAAAAGUAUCUUAUCUAUUUAUUUUUUACUUCAAUGCACAAUUAUAUAAGUAAGUGUACAUAUAGCAGACUUAAUACCUAAUGGCGUUCUCUACCAGUCAACCAUGAGGCAAGCAGAAAAUUAAGUUAGCGGUGCGUUUACUACUAAAAUGUUGUUACUAAUACAUUUUGCAGGUAUAUAUAAAUAUAUACCUACACAAAUACAUACAUACAAUAUACAACUAUAAUUCUAAUGAUAAUAAAUUAGAACAGCAGAUAAAAAAAUUAGGCAGAUAAGUAAUUACGAUUGAAGCAAAAAGUACAAAUAAAAAGUAAAAGAAAAGAAGAGAGAGAAAAAAGGGAUGAAAACUGUGUUACAAGUUUUUUUUUAUUAUAUUUUUAUUCUGUGUAAAUAUUAAAAUCUAUAAAUCACAAUUAAGGUGUGUUCACACUUGUGAACAAGCAGCGCGAAUUCCCGUCUAGAAUACGAUUCGAACAAAGUACACGUGCUUUGUUCGUGAGCGUAAUGCAUUUUUCAGCGUACAAAACGCUUUACAGCUGAAAUCUCGAUUUAGUAGCCAAUACUGCGGGUUUAGUGCAACUUGUCAAUUGUAGAUUACUCCCGAUUUAGUAGCGCUUCAGGUUUCAGCGAGCGCGCAUAAACGAUCGGCUAACUGUCGAAGUGACUCAAUCGAUUGUUCUUUUUAACAUCGUAAUUUUUAAACCAAGGAAAUUAUGACUCUGAUGGAUAAAAGUGUUAUAUGUUUUAUAGAAGAAUAAUUAGUAAUAAUAAUAAGAAUCGAUUGCUUGGGUAUCUCUGUCCCAUUCGUGUUUUAACCGUGAAGUAGUUGUGUUUGCAUGGCUGUGUUUCGGUUUGAAGGGUGGGAUAAGGCGUGAAUUUAGUGGGUACAGAGGAAUAACAUCUGAGUCCUCAAGAAUGGCAACGCAUGGGGGUAUUAUGGGCGAAACAGUAUACUCUGUUAUGUCCAUGGUACUGCUCAUGUCUAUAGGCGACGGUUACCACUUUCCAUCAGGUGGGCCGUCAGCUUGUUUGCUAUUCUAAGUUGUAUAAAAAAAAGUGAAUACAGAAAUAAAAAUAUGAUAUAUGAAAUAAUCGCAAAUAAUUUUUUUGUUAAUUCUCGUAUUAUCAGAUGUACAAAAACCAGUGAAGUAUAUCACUUCUAGAUAACGUAUCAAGAUAUACAUCAGUUUUUAAGUUUGACCUUCAAAAAUACAACUGUAAAAACCUCAUCCAAUAUGGUGCAAUAGUUUUUUCUUUUUUUUUAUACGUGACAAACGAGCAUGCGGCUCACCUGAUGGUAAGUGACUACCGCUGCUCAUAAUCAUUCGCAAUACCAGAGGCAUUGCAGGUGUGCUGCUGGCCUUUUAAAAAAAGGAAUAUCACCUUGAAGGUUAUGAUAUUGUAUCGUAUCGGAAUUACUGCUGCUGGAAGUUGAUUCUAAAUAGUGGUUGUGCGUGGAAGAAAGCGCAUUGAAAAGCGCACAGUGGAGGACCGCCACUCAUACAGAUGGUUGGGAUGGAACUUCAGUUUGUUGCGGGUUGUACGGUGGUGAAAAUAAGCAGCAGGUAUCAGUCCGAACAGUUUUUGUAAUAAUGACGUGAUGUUGACAAACAUACAUACGAACAGAUAAAAAUUCUAAAAAAAAUUUUUGUACUCUAUUGGUCUUACCACUGGUAUUAAUUUUCCUUAAAUAUCCCCGAUGACAACGGACAUCGUCUAUUUACAGUUUUAUUAUAUAAGUAACAAGUAAAAUGAGAUAUUUAGACAAUACCAUAAUUAAGUCAACAUUUAGUUCGUGUAGCUUUUCUACUUCGUAUUAUUUAAUUGAAUUACUAAAUAAAAAAGUAUUAAGUUUAAUAAAAUUAUCAUUUUAGCUAUGCACAGAGUCAUUGAUAAUGUAUUGCAUGUUGACAAAAGUACCAAAAUUCGUCACGUAUAAAUCAGUGUCUUACUAAAUAAUCUAUCAAAUAAUUUAAAUUUUUUAAUGUUAUAUUGGAUUAAGUAAUAUUUUGUUAUUAAAUAAUUAAAUAUAGAAAAAAAAAUAUAUAAAAUGCAUAAUCCAUAUCUAUCCAUCUACAAUGUAAUAGUGUUUAAAUUUAAACAGAAAGUGGCACGAAAACAUGUGCUUAAGCUAAAUUUUAAAAUCGCGAUAUAUUCUUAUCUAUCUUACUUCCAUUUUAUAGUUCAACACUGUGAUUAAAAUCUUUUUCUGCAUAUCAGCGCAGUGCAAUAACGAUAAAAUAGAAGUGAAAUUUAUCGUCUCGCUAGCCAGCGCAAGUUACGAUGUUAUAUGCAAGCAGAUUUUUUAGUGGAACAAUUCCUCUGCAAGAUGAGACGAAGAUAUCUCACGUGAUUUAUUAUAUUCGUGCAGCAAUAAGAUCGCGUUAGACCGGCUGCCCCGCGACUACGCUAGUAUGUACUUGCCUUUAUACUAACUUUUAAACAAGACUAUAGAUAGCCACGUGAGUUUAAGAAAUUUUUAGGGUAGUAUUAUACAUGGUAUUUAUAUAUUCGGUUCCAAAUAUGUAAUUUUUCUGUGAUUAAAAAGUUUCGCUCGCUUU
Molecule: long non-coding RNA, 3793 nt
Organism: Galleria mellonella (greater wax moth)
Lineage: Eukaryota; Metazoa; Arthropoda; Insecta; Lepidoptera; Pyralidae
Exons: 5
Source: RefSeq, a predicted model, not a curated record